GCAUAUCAAUAAGCGGAGGAAAAGAAACCAACAGGGAUUACCUCAGUAACGGCGAGUGAAGCGGUAACAGCUCAAAUUUGAAAUCUGGCCGCAAGGUCCGAGUUGUAAUUUGUAGAGGAUGUUUCGAGCAUGGUCUGGCCUAAGUUCCUUGGAACAGGACGUCAUAGAGGGUGAGAAUCCCGUAUGCGGUCAGGUGCCUACGCUCAUGUGAAACUCCUUCGACGAGUCGAGUUGUUUGGGAAUGCAGCUCAAAAUGGGUGGUAAAUUUCAUCUAAAGCUAAAUAUUGGCCAGAGACCGAUAGCGCACAAGUAGAGUGAUCGAAAGAUGAAAAGCACUUUGGAAAGAGAGUUAAACAGUACGUGAAAUUGUUGAAAGGGAAGCGCUUGCAACCAGACUUGCGCGCGGCUGAUCAUCCGGGCUUCUGCCCGGUGCACUCGGUCGCGCUCAGGCCAGCAUCGGUUUUGGUGGCGGGAUAAAGGCCUUGGGAAUGUAGCUCCUCUCGGGGAGUGUUAUAGCCCAGGGUGCAAUGCCGCCUACCGGGACCGAGGACCGCGCUUCGGCUAGGAUGCUGGCGUAAUGGUUGUAAGCGACCCGUCUUGAA
Molecule: ribosomal RNA, 602 nt
Filed under: Ascomycota sp.
Lineage: Eukaryota; Fungi; Ascomycota
Description: LSU rRNA
Rfam family: Eukaryotic large subunit ribosomal RNA
Source: RNAcentral